Lutra lutra (Eurasian river otter) is the source of this 1850-nucleotide long non-coding RNA. RefSeq lists it as uncharacterized. NCBI's taxonomy places the organism in Eukaryota, Metazoa, Chordata, Mammalia, Carnivora, Mustelidae. The record is from RefSeq and is a predicted model, not a curated record. The transcript has 4 exons.
CUUGUUCUUGCGAUCCAGUCCUUUCUGGGACCUAGCACCGAGCGCUCCCCGUGCACCAGGCAGGACAAUGGGCAUCAGGGCUGACCCCGCAACUGCGUGAGUCCACCCUUGCACCGGUUCUGCCCUGGAACUGUUCACAUUCCAGUGCAGACUCCCUGAUGGGCCGCCCAUAUGGAUAAGGAUGAAGUCACAGCAUCCUUUUUGAGGCAGCCUGAGAGUCUAGACUCAGAUUUGCUUACUCGGUUCCCUGCUGUGGUGCAGCAUUGCCUGUUCCAGGGAUUCAGGAAUGGACAGACUGGCUCCUGCCCUCAAAUAGCUGACAUACUCUUGAGAGGAGCAGAUAAAAGCCGAGUAAAAACCAAACAAGCAGGAUGGACUGUGAGCAUCUCAUCAUCUGAGGAAGACCCUGGGUGGAGAUCACUGAAGGGUUUCUUCAAGAUAUGGUGGUCCCAGCGGUGUGCCGAUGGAUUCUGGGUGCGGAAUGGUCCUUCAUGGAUGGUGUUUUACCUCGAUUCAAAACUUGAACAGCUUAAAUGCUUAUGCUGAAGAUACUCGCCCAAAUUUUUAAAUAAAGUGUGAGAGUGGAGAAAGUUGUUUCCAAAUGAGUGUACUUUCCAUGUUAUGUGAGUUUUUAAAAUCAAACUUAUUUUGAGAUAAUUAUAGAUUCAAAAGCAGUUGUAAGAUGUAAAACAGAGAUUCCUUGUACACUUUGCCCAGUUUCCCCCAGAGGUAACAUCUUCAAAACACAACCGCAUGAUAUCACAGCCAUGACACCAACACGGAUGAAUGGCCAUCUUAGAUUUCUCCAGUUUCGCUUCCACGGAUGUCACAAGGCUGUGUCACAUGUAGACUCGUAGACUCCUUCCCACUGCCACAGUCAAGACAGUAUUUCGAUCGCCAGGAGGACCCCAUCUCCCUCCUGCUCCCUAUUCAAACCACUGAUCUGCUCUCCACUUCUAAAAUUUUAUCUUUUCAAAAGUGUCAACAAGUGGAAUUUGUGCAUAUUAAUAAAGGGGAUCCUCACUAAAAUGGAAUAGGGAGGCUCUACAGGUGAAGACACAGCAAAAAGAGAGGGACUUUGAAAGUAAACCAGUGCCACUGUAGCUACUACUUUAUCCCAGCGGGAGGCAAGCUUCCACCUCCCCCAGCAACAGCCUAGCCAAUGAGAAGCCAGUACACUUCCACCUCCCAGUUUUACCCCAAUGGACUUUCUGUUUUCCUCCCAACUUCCUCUUUCCUCUUUCUUUUCCCAGACUAGCCUUUGGUUUUGUUGUAGGUUGCUUGCCCUGGACUGUGAUUCUCUGCUAUUCCCAAAUAAACCCAUUUUUUGCUGGUAAAAUAACUGUCAGUUUCCCUUUGAGGUUGAUAGAUUAUAUAGUAUGUAACUUUCUGAACUUGGAUUUUUUUCCCCACUCAGCAUAAUUACCCUGAGAUUCUGCAGACCUCUUUGUGUAUGAACAGGGCAUUCUCCCUGAGUCCCAGUCCAUGCUGUGGAUGCAGUAUGGUUGGCUUAAUCAUGUGCUCACUAAAAAGCAAGUGAGUUGUUUUCAGUUUUGGAGUAUCACAAAUAAAGCUGCUGUAAACAUUUGGGUAUGGAUUUUUGUUGAAAGUAAGUUUUUAGUUUUCUGGGAUAAAUGCCUCAGUGUGCAACUGUUGAGUUGUAUGAUAAUUGCACGUUAGUUUUAUAAGAAACUGUUGACCUGUUGUCUGCAGUGGCUGUACCAUUUAAAUUCUUAACAGCAGUGGAUAGGUACCUGAGUUACCCAUAACUUCACCAGCAUGAUGUCAUUGAUUUUUCUUUCUGCCAUUAUGAAAGGUAUGUAGUGGUACCUCACUGUGGUUUUAAUUUG